AUGAACGCUGGCGGCGUGCCUAAUACAUGCAAGUCGAGCGAACAGACGAGGAGCUUGCUCCUCUGACGUUAGCGGCGGACGGGUGAGUAACACGUGGAUAACCUACCUAUAAGACUGGGAUAACUUCGGGAAACCGGAGCUAAUACCGGAUAAUAUAUUGAACCGCAUGGUUCAAUAGUGAAAGACGGUUUUGCUGUCACUUAUAGAUGGAUCCGCGCCGCAUUAGCUAGUUGGUAAGGUAACGGCUUACCAAGGCAACGAUGCGUAGCCGACCUGAGAGGGUGAUCGGCCACACUGGAACUGAGACGCGGUCCAGACUCCUACGGGAGGCAACAGUAGGGAAUCUUCCGCAAUGGGCGAAAGCCUGACGGAGCAACGCCGCGUGAGUGAUGAAGGUCUUCGGAUCGUAAAACUCUGUUAUUAGGGAAGAACAAAUGUGUAAGUAACUAUGCACGUCUUGACGGUACCUAAUCAGAAAGCCACGGCUAACUACGU
Molecule: ribosomal RNA, 495 nt
Filed under: uncultured bacterium
Lineage: Bacteria
Description: partial 16S ribosomal RNA
Rfam family: Bacterial small subunit ribosomal RNA
Source: RNAcentral